Molecule: ribosomal RNA, 564 nt
Filed under: uncultured bacterium
Lineage: Bacteria
Description: partial 16S ribosomal RNA
Rfam family: Bacterial small subunit ribosomal RNA
Source: RNAcentral
UGGGGAAUUUUGGACAAUGGGCGAAAGCCUGAUCCAGCAAUGCCGCGUGUGUGAAGAAGGCCUUCGGGUUGUAAAGCACUUUUGUCCGGAAAGAAAUCCUUGGCUCUAAUACAGUCGGGGGAUGACGGUACCGGAAGAAUAAGCACCGGCUAACUACGUGCCAGCAGCCGCGGUAAUACGUAGGGUGCAAGCGUUAAUCGGAAUUACUGGGCGUAAAGCGUGCGCAGGCGGUUUGCUAAGACCGAUGUGAAAUCCCCGGGCUCAACCUGGGAACUGCAUUGGUGACUGGCAGGCUAGAGUAUGGCAGAGGGGGGUAGAAUUCCACGUGUAGCAGUGAAAUGCGUAGAGAUGUGGAGGAAUACCGAUGGCGAAGGCAGCCCCCUGGGCCAAUACUGACGCUCAUGCACGAAAGCGUGGGGAGCAAAACAGGAUUAGAUACCCUGGUAGUCCACGCCCUAAACGAUGUCAACUAGUUGUUGGGGAUUCAUUUCCUUAGUAACGUAGCUAACGCGUGAAGUUGACCGCCUGGGGAGUACGGUCGCAAGAUUAAAACUCAAAGGAAUU